This 348-nucleotide unclassified non-coding RNA is filed under the name soil metagenome. Its description in RNAcentral is "partial contains 5.8S ribosomal RNA, internal transcribed spacer 2, and large subunit ribosomal RNA". The stretch from base 1 to 120 matches the Rfam family "5.8S ribosomal RNA", at positions 35 to 154 of the family's 154-position model. The record is from RNAcentral.
GAUGAAGAACGUAGCGAAAUGCGAUAAGUAAUGUGAAUUGCAGAAUUCCGUGAAUCAUCGAAUCUUUGAACGCACAUUGCGCCCUCUGGUAUUCCGGGGGGCAUGCCUGUCCGAGCGUCAUUGCUGCCCUCAAGCACGGCUUGUGUGUUGGGCCCCCGUCCCCGGUUUCCCCCGGGGACGGGCCCGAAAGGCAGCGGCGGCACCGCGUCCGGUCCUCGAGCGUAUGGGGCUUUGUCACCCGCUCUGUAGGCCCGGCCGGCGCCAGCCGACACCCAACUUUAUUUCUAAGGUUGACCUCGGAUCAGGUAGGGAUACCCGCUGAACUUAAGCAUAUCAAUAAGCGGAGGA